This 64-nucleotide transfer RNA is filed under the name Serratia marcescens. Its description in RNAcentral is "tRNA-Ser". It matches the Rfam family "tRNA". Rfam says of the family: Transfer RNA (tRNA) molecules are approximately 80 nucleotides in length. Their secondary structure includes four short double-helical elements and three loops (D, anti-codon, and T loops). Further hydrogen bonds mediate the characteristic L-shaped molecular structure. tRNAs have two regions of fundamental functional importance: the anti-codon, which is responsible for specific mRNA codon recognition, and the 3' end, to which the tRNAs corresponding amino acid is attached (by aminoacyl-tRNA synthetases). tRNAs cope with the degeneracy of the genetic code in two manners: having more than one tRNA (with a specific anti-codon) for a particular amino acid; and 'wobble' base-pairing, i.e. permitting non-standard base-pairing at the 3rd anti-codon position. Lineage: Bacteria; Pseudomonadati; Pseudomonadota; Gammaproteobacteria; Enterobacterales; Yersiniaceae. The record is from RNAcentral.
GGGUCGUUAGCUCAGUCGGUAGAGCAGUUGACUCUCACAGGUUCGAACCCUGUACGGUCCGCUA